UUUCUAUAAAAGUGACAAAUAGCAAUAUUUUCAAGAAACAACUUUUUAAAUUCUAAUUUAAUAGAAGUCAAGUUAUGGUCUGAGAGAUAACUUAAAAAUGGUAAGUUAUUUAGGAACAAGAUAAAAGGCAAAACACCAAACUUCAUACAAACUUAAAUGUUUGACAUUUAAAAAUUAAAGAGAUUUUUUUUUAACGUGUAUUUGAGACAAAUAAGCCAACCUUGGUACAUAACCGCUGAAAACUAAAAAACCGUACCCUAAACCAACACAGGUGGAUAGGUCGAGUAGACUAAGGUGUAUGAGAUAAUUAUGUUGAAGGAACUCGGCAAAAUGACUCUGUAACUUCGGGAGAAAGAGUACCUUUUUAUUAGUGUUUAUCGACGAAAUAAUAAGAAG
RNAcentral lists this ribosomal RNA (396 nucleotides) under Aphanomyces astaci. Its description in RNAcentral is "partial large subunit ribosomal RNA". Lineage: Eukaryota; Oomycota; Saprolegniomycetes; Saprolegniales; Verrucalvaceae. The record is from RNAcentral.